ACGAACUGGUCUAUUCCUUUGGGUUUUUUUCUGCUGCAUUUAGACUUUCAAGCAUAUUACCUGGUCCAGUCUAUACAAACAUCAAUGACAAUAUAGUGGAAUCGAACAGACUACCUGCGAAAGGAGAGGUUGACCAGGUUACACAAAAACAACUCGAUGUUUUGAGAACGCAUGUAAGGGAUCAUUUCGACAAUAUGGCCCAGACCACGAACGAAAUCUGUGACAUCAUCUUUAACGUCAUCGAAACGGACGCUCCCAACAAACCAAUCAGGUUUACAACCGGCGAAUAUGUUGAUACCAGGGUGGCAAUGAAACUUGUUGAUUUUGGCGGGAACACGUGGGUUGAAUCCGCUCGGAAACUGGUCGAGGAACCGACGGGCUACACAAAAUCCAAAAAAAGUGAGGAGCAGGUCUAAAGACUAACUCGUACAGAUCUGCGCAUGUCCAGUAAGCCGUGAAUAAGCAGAGUGGUUUCAAGAACGCCCGUUUGCA
Lytechinus variegatus (green sea urchin) is the source of this 492-nucleotide long non-coding RNA. RefSeq lists it as uncharacterized. NCBI's taxonomy places the organism in Eukaryota, Metazoa, Echinodermata, Echinoidea, Temnopleuroida, Toxopneustidae. The record is from RefSeq and is a predicted model, not a curated record. The transcript is spliced from 2 exons.